UGGUUUUGGCAUNGAUGAAGAACGCAGCGAAAUGCGAUAAGUAAUGUGAAUUGCAGAAUUCAGUGAAUCAUCGAAUCUUUGAACGCACAUUGCGCCCCCUGGUAUUCCGGGGGGCAUGCCUGUUCGAGCGUCAUUUAGUGGAAAAUCAAGCACCUGCUUGGCCUUGGGAGCCCGCCCCGUCAGGGGCGCCCCCUAAACCGGUUGGCGGUGGCCCCGGGCUUCUAGCGUAGUGAAACAUCCCGCUACGAGGCCCUGCGGUCGCCCGCUUCCAGAGACCAAACUCUUAUACCAUUGACCUCGGAUCAGGUAGGGAUACCCGCUGA
RNAcentral lists this unclassified non-coding RNA (323 nucleotides) under uncultured fungus. Its description in RNAcentral is "partial contains 5.8S ribosomal RNA and internal transcribed spacer 2". The stretch from base 1 to 133 matches the Rfam family "5.8S ribosomal RNA", at positions 22 to 154 of the family's 154-position model. The record is from RNAcentral. Lineage: Eukaryota; Fungi.